Molecule: ribosomal RNA, 432 nt
Filed under: Kodamaea ohmeri
Lineage: Eukaryota; Fungi; Ascomycota; Pichiomycetes; Serinales; Debaryomycetaceae
Description: eukaryotic LSU rRNA
Rfam family: 5.8S ribosomal RNA (bases 134-285)
Source: RNAcentral
UGGAAGUUAAAAAGCGUAACAAGGUUUCCGUAGGUGAACCUGCGGAAGGAUCAUUAACAUUAAUUUACUACACACUGUUUUUUUACAACAAAACAAAUCUAUCUAAAAACAAUUCUUUACAAGAAAUUCUUAAAACUUUCAACAACGGAUCUCUUGGUUCUCGCAUCGAUGAAGAACGCAGCGAAAUGCGAUACGUAAUACGAAUCGCAGCUCUCGGAAUCAUCGAAUCUUUGAACGCACAUUGCACCAUUGGGUAUUCCCAAUGGUAUGCUUGUUUGAGCGAAUACUUCCCUAAUCCUCACGGAUUGUAUUGUGUUUGCACGAAAAUAAUGACGACAGUACUCUACAAAACGGUACCGUCAGUACACUCAUUUUUUUUCCUCAAAUCAAGUAGGACUACCCGCUGAACUUAAGCAUAUCAAAGCUGGAAGG